This 19-nucleotide non-coding RNA is filed under the name Arabidopsis thaliana (thale cress). The record is from RNAcentral. Lineage: Eukaryota; Viridiplantae; Streptophyta; Magnoliopsida; Brassicales; Brassicaceae.
CCGCCACGUCCUCCGAUGG